GAUGAACGCUGGCGGCGUGCCUAAUACAUGCAAGUCGAGCGAACAGACGAGGAGCUUGCUCCUCUGACGUUAGCGGCGGACGGGUGAGUAACACGUGGAUAACCUACCUAUAAGACUGGGAUAACUUCGGGAAACCGGAGCUAAUACCGGAUAAUAUAUUGAACCGCAUGGUUCAAUAGUGAAAGACGGUUUUGCUGUCACUUAUAGAUGGAUCCGCGCCGCAUUAGCUAGUUGGUAAGGUAACGGCUUACCAAGGCAACGAUGCGUAGCCGACCUGAGAAGGUGAUCGGCCACACUGGAACUGAGACACGGUCCAGACUCCUACGGGAGGCAGCAGUAGGGAAUCUUCCGCAAUGGGCGAAAGCCUGACGGAGCAACGCCGCGUGAGUGAUGAAGGUCUUCGGAUCGUAAAACUCUGUUAUUAGGGAAGAACAAAUGUGUAAGUAACUAUGCACGUCUUGACGGUACCUAAUCAGGAAGCCACGGCUAACUACGUG
RNAcentral lists this ribosomal RNA (497 nucleotides) under uncultured bacterium. RNAcentral's name for it is "partial 16S ribosomal RNA". It matches the Rfam family "Bacterial small subunit ribosomal RNA", at positions 28 to 507 of the family's 1533-position model. The record is from RNAcentral.